CAAUAGCGUAUAUUUAAGUUGUUGCAGUUAAAAAGCUCGUAGUCGGAUUUUGGCUGAGAACGAUCGGUCCGCCGUUAGGUGUGCACUGAUUGGUCUCAGCUUCCUGGUGAGGAGGUGUGCUUCACGGCCACUUAGUCACCGUGGUUACUUUGAAAAAAUUAGAGUGUUCAAAGCGGGCUUACGCUUGAAUAUAUUAGCAUGGAAUAACACCAUAGGACUCCUGUCCUAUUUCGUUGGUCUCGGGACGGGAGUAAUGAUUAAGAGGAACAGUUGGGGGCAUUCGUAUUUCAUUGUCAGAGGUGAAAUUCUUGGAUUUAUGAAAGACGAACUUCUACGAAAGCAUUUGCCAAGGAUGUUUUCAUUGA
RNAcentral lists this ribosomal RNA (365 nucleotides) under uncultured eukaryote. RNAcentral's name for it is "partial 18S ribosomal RNA". It matches the Rfam family "Eukaryotic small subunit ribosomal RNA", at positions 592 to 976 of the family's 1831-position model. The record is from RNAcentral.